AUUGAACGCUGGCGGCAUGCCUUACACAUGCAAGUCGAACGGUAACGGGCCUUCGGGUGCCGACGAGUGGCGAACGGGUGAGUAAUACAUCGGAACGUGCCCGAUCGUGGGGGAUAACGAGGCGAAAGCUUUGCUAAUACCGCAUACGAUCUACGGAUGAAAGCAGGGGACCGCAAGGCCUUGCGCGGACGGAGCGGCCGAUGGCAGAUUAGGUAGUUGGUGGGAUAAAAGCUUACCAAGCCGACGAUCGGUAGCUGGUCGGAGAGGAUGAUCAGCCACACUGGGACUGAGACACGGCCCAGACUCCUACGGGAGGCAGCAGUGGGGAAUUUUGGACAAUGGGCGCAAGCCUGAUCCAGCCAUGCCGCGUGCAGGAUGAAGGCCUUCGGGUUGUAAACUGCUUUUGUACGGAACGAAAAGCCUUCUUUUAAUACAGGAGGGUCAUGACGGUACCGGAAGAAUAAGCACCGGCUAACUACGUG
Molecule: ribosomal RNA, 482 nt
Filed under: uncultured bacterium
Lineage: Bacteria
Description: partial 16S ribosomal RNA
Rfam family: Bacterial small subunit ribosomal RNA
Source: RNAcentral